UACGAAGGGGGCUAGCGUUGUUCGGAUUUACUGGGCGUAAAGCGCACGUAGGCGGAUUGUUAAGUCGGGGGUGAAAUCCUGGGGCUCAACCUCAGAACUGCCUUCGAUACUGGCAAUCUAGAGUCCGGAAGAGGUGAGUGGAACUCCUAGUGUAGAGGUGGAAUUCGUAGAUAUUAGGGAGAACACCAGUGGCGAAGGCGGCUCACUGGUCCGGUACUGACGCUGAGGUGCGAAAGCGUGGGGAGCAAACAGG
This 253-nucleotide ribosomal RNA is filed under the name uncultured bacterium. Its description in RNAcentral is "partial 16S ribosomal RNA". It matches the Rfam family "Bacterial small subunit ribosomal RNA", at positions 524 to 776 of the family's 1533-position model. The record is from RNAcentral.